GACCUCAUCAAACCUCAUGAGGAAUUGAAGAAAAGUGGGAGAGGCAAAAAGAGACAGAGUUUCACCGUGUUGUCCAGGCUGGUCUCAAACUCCUGACCUCAAGCGAUCCGCCCACCUUGGCCUCCCAAAGAACUGGGAUUACAGAUGUGAGCCACUGCACCCUGCCAGAAAUGGUGAAUUUUGAAUUUGAAUUCAGCUCUUUCUCAAUUUAUGGCCCACAUUCUUUCUAGCAUCUACUUCCAAAGAUAGCCUAGAGAGUAUUUUUUAUCUUCUAUAGCUGUAAACCUUGAUAUGGGCAUUCUCUGAUGGCCUGUGUGUUUUGAAAAGAUUAAUGGAUAAGGCAGUGGAUUUCACUGCUAACCUUGCUACACCAUAGCUGUGUAACCUUGGGUAAGGCAGUUUCUUUAUCUGUAAAAGAAUGGAAAGAUCUCCUAAAUAAAGUACUCAGUAAACACUCCAUCAAUAUUAAA
Molecule: small RNA, 470 nt
Filed under: Pan troglodytes (chimpanzee)
Lineage: Eukaryota; Metazoa; Chordata; Mammalia; Primates; Hominidae
Description: processed transcript
Source: RNAcentral